Molecule: transfer RNA, 70 nt
Filed under: Dipodomys ordii (Ord's kangaroo rat)
Lineage: Eukaryota; Metazoa; Chordata; Mammalia; Rodentia; Heteromyidae
Rfam family: tRNA
About the family: Transfer RNA (tRNA) molecules are approximately 80 nucleotides in length. Their secondary structure includes four short double-helical elements and three loops (D, anti-codon, and T loops). Further hydrogen bonds mediate the characteristic L-shaped molecular structure. tRNAs have two regions of fundamental functional importance: the anti-codon, which is responsible for specific mRNA codon recognition, and the 3' end, to which the tRNAs corresponding amino acid is attached (by aminoacyl-tRNA synthetases). tRNAs cope with the degeneracy of the genetic code in two manners: having more than one tRNA (with a specific anti-codon) for a particular amino acid; and 'wobble' base-pairing, i.e. permitting non-standard base-pairing at the 3rd anti-codon position.
Source: Rfam by way of RNAcentral
GGGAAUGUGGCUCAGUGGUAGAGCGCCUGCCUAGCAUGCAUGAAGCCUUGGGUCUGAUUCCUCAGUACCA